RNAcentral lists this transfer RNA (97 nucleotides) under Saccharolobus shibatae. RNAcentral's name for it is "tRNA-Lys". It matches the Rfam family "tRNA". From Rfam's summary of the family: Transfer RNA (tRNA) molecules are approximately 80 nucleotides in length. Their secondary structure includes four short double-helical elements and three loops (D, anti-codon, and T loops). Lineage: Archaea; Thermoproteati; Thermoproteota; Thermoprotei; Sulfolobales; Sulfolobaceae. RNAcentral also lists the same sequence under 11 other names. The record is from RNAcentral.
GGGCCCGUAGCUCAGCCAGGUAGAGCGGCGGGCUUUUAACCGCAAAGGGUUGCGGAAAGCAACCCGUAGGUCCCGGGUUCGAAUCCCGGCGGGCCCG